Molecule: ribosomal RNA, 497 nt
Filed under: uncultured bacterium
Lineage: Bacteria
Description: partial 16S ribosomal RNA
Rfam family: Bacterial small subunit ribosomal RNA
Source: RNAcentral
GAUGAACGCUGGCGGCGUGCCUAAUACAUGCAAGUCGAGCGAACAGACGAGGAGCUUGCUCCUCUGACGUUAGCGGCGGACGGGUGAGUAACACGUGGAUAACCUACCUAUAAGACUGGGAUAACUUCGGGAAACCGGAGCUAAUACCGGAUAAUAUAUUGAACCGCAUGGUUCAAUAGUGAAAGACGGUUUUGCUGUCACUUAUAGAUGGAUCCGCGCCGCAUUAGCUAGUUGGUAAGGUAACGGCUUACCAAGGCAACGAUGCGUAGCCGACCUGAGAGGGUGAUCGGCCACACUGGAACUGAGACACGGUCCAGACUCCUACGGGAGGCACAAGUAGGGAAUCUUCCGAAAUGGGCGAAAGCUUGACGGAGCAACGCCGCGUGAGUGAUGAAGGUCUUCGGAUCGUAAAACUCUGUUAUUAGGGAAGAACAAAUGUGUAAGUAACUAUGCACGUCUUGACGGUACCUAAUCAGAAAGCCACGGCUAACUACGUG